GAUGAACGCUGGCGGCGUGCCUAAUACAUGCAAGUCGAGCGAACAGACGAGGAGCUUGCUCCUCUGACGUUAGCGGCGGACGGGUGAGUAACACGUGGAUAACCUACCUAUAAGACUGGGAUAACUUCGGGAAACCGGAGCUAAUACCGGAUAAUAUAUUGAACCGCAUGGUUCAAUAGUGAAAGACGGUUUUGCUGUCACUUAUAGAUGGAUCCGCGCCGCAUUAGCUAGUUGGUAAGGUAACGGCUUACCAAGGCGACGAUGCGUAGCCGACCUGAGAGGGUGAUCGGCCACACUGGAACUGAGACACGGUCAAGACUACUACGGGAGGCAGCAGUAGGGAAUCUUCCGCAAGGGGCGAAAGCCUGACGGAGCAACGCCGCGUGAGUGAUGAAGGUCUUCGGAUCGUAAAACUCUGUUAUUAGGGAAGAACAAAUGUGUAAGUAACUAUGCACGUCUUGACGGUACCUAAUCAGAAGGCCACGGCUAACUACG
Molecule: ribosomal RNA, 495 nt
Filed under: uncultured bacterium
Lineage: Bacteria
Description: partial 16S ribosomal RNA
Rfam family: Bacterial small subunit ribosomal RNA
Source: RNAcentral